This 466-nucleotide ribosomal RNA is filed under the name uncultured bacterium. Its description in RNAcentral is "partial 16S ribosomal RNA". It matches the Rfam family "Bacterial small subunit ribosomal RNA", at positions 28 to 507 of the family's 1533-position model. The record is from RNAcentral.
GACGAACGCUGGCGGCGCGCCUAACACAUGCAAGUCGAACGAGCGAGAGAGAGCUUGCUUUCUUGAGCGAGUGGCGAACGGGUGAGUAACGCGUGAGGAACCUGCCUCAAAGAGGGGGACAACAGUUGGAAACGACUGCUAAUACCGCAUAAGCCCACGGUGCCGCAUGGCACAGAGGGAAAAGGAGCAAUCCGCUUUGAGAUGGCCUCGCGUCCGAUUAGCUAGUUGGUGAGGUAACGGCCCACCAAGGCGACGAUCGGUAGCCGGACUGAGAGGUUGAACGGCUACAUUGGGACUGAGACACGGCCCAGACUCCUACGGGAGGCAGCAGUGGGGAAUAUUGCACAAUGGGGGAAAUCCUGAUGCAGCGACGCCGCGUGGAGGAAGAAGGUCUUCGGAUUGUAAACUCCUGUUGUUGGGGAAGAUAAUGACGGUACCCAACAAGGAAGUGACGGCUAACUACGUG